UACGGGGGGGGUAAGCGUUGUUCGGAAUUACUGGGCGUAAAGGGCUCGUAGGCGGCCAACUGAGUCAGACGUGAAAUCCCUCAGCUUAACUGGGGAACUGCGUCUGAUACUGGAUGGCUUGGAUCCGGAAGAGGGAUGCGGAAUUCCAGGUGUAGCGGUGAAAUGCGUAGAUAUCUGGAGGAACACCGGUGGCGAAGGCGGCAUCCUGGGCCGGUAUUGACGCUGAGGAGCGAAAGCCAGGGGAGCAAACGGG
This 253-nucleotide ribosomal RNA is filed under the name uncultured bacterium. RNAcentral describes it as "partial 16S ribosomal RNA". It matches the Rfam family "Bacterial small subunit ribosomal RNA", at positions 524 to 776 of the family's 1533-position model. The record is from RNAcentral.